This 1235-nucleotide long non-coding RNA is filed under the name Mus musculus (house mouse). Its description in RNAcentral is "long non-coding RNA chr4:155086588-155087823". Lineage: Eukaryota; Metazoa; Chordata; Mammalia; Rodentia; Muridae. The record is from RNAcentral.
GAAACUUUGGCGGCAAGAUGGAGGCAGCUGGCGAUCCCUACCAGGCUUCGCUCCAGCCGCGUCGGCACUCGCCGAGACUGCCGCCGCGAAACGGUACGGGCUGCGUCUCCCCGCUGGAGCUCCGUCGCGUUCGCGUGCUCCACAGGCGUGGUCCAGGCUGCAGGCUCACGGCCAGCCGACCCUGCGUCAGGGGGGGCAGGUAGAGCUGAGGUCAGGCUGGCUGGGUGAGCACACGAGGUUCGCCCAAUGCAGUCUGAUGAAAAGUUGUUCUAAAACCGGAGAAACAGGAUCGAUAUGAGGUCAGAGUCCAUGCUAGUGCCACUGUCUUCCCGUCCCAGGCUGCGACUUGCUGGCAAGAAAGCAGUGGGGUUGCUUAUCCAUCUCAGGAACUGAGAGAUGGGUGUUGGGUGUGAUGUCUCAGAGCUGGCUGCGUGAUAAAAGAUGAGGCAGCCAGGAGUAAUUAGGAGUGAGUGUGGAUUUUUGUCCCGUGGGGACAGGAGGAUAGUGACGGUCCUGGCAGGGUGGGCUCUUUGCUGUAUCCUCACGGAGCUUGUUGACUGCUUCCGUGCCCUCACCGCCUCCUCUUAAAGAGCCUACAAUCAGCUUUUGUCUUAGCCCUCCUCUGGCCAGGCCUGCCUUUCCCUCAGUACUAUCCAUGUAACAAAACCCAAGCAAGGGAGAGGGAGCACCCAUCUUGAGCAAUUAACCAUCCUGUCAUGUUCAAGAGACUGAUGAGAAAUGACCUGCAGACUACUCCAGACCCUGAGCUGCCCCAUCUCUGUGUCUGUUGAUGGCAAACCAUUGCUAUGUUCAUCUUCUUUUCCGAACACAGGCUAUGGCGUAUAUGUAUACCCAAAUUCUUUCUUCCGCUAUGAAGGAGAAUGGAAGGGAGGCAAGAAACACGGUAAGAAGCCUGUGAUCAUUGCAGAGCUCAUUCCAGAGCCAGAUUCCUGAGAAAAGGUGUGGGAGGCAGUCAGUCUUGUACCAAGCAUAGCCUGGUACUGCGCCUGCACACUGGGACUACCACUUGGACCCAGUCAUGGUGGAACCAAUGUAAGACCAAUUCUUGUAGGCUUGGAGGUCAUCACAUGCUGGUGGGUGGUGGAACUAUUGGUGGGAGGGAAAGAGUGGGGCAGUAGACCCAGAGUGUCACACACAAACACCAUCAUGGCGUCCUGCAUGCUUGUUAUUGGACAUCCAGGCCUCUAAUCAUCAGCCUUAGUGUCUCUGUAUUC